Long non-coding RNA from Scleropages formosus (Asian bonytongue), 421 nucleotides. RefSeq lists it as uncharacterized. Lineage: Eukaryota; Metazoa; Chordata; Actinopteri; Osteoglossiformes; Osteoglossidae. The transcript is spliced from 3 exons. The record is from RefSeq and is a predicted model, not a curated record.
UGAGCGGCUUCUUCACUCACACACACACACACGACACGCGCGCGCGUACACACCGGCUCAAGCGGCUUGAAUCAAGGGGUACUGUUCCUUCAAGAUAUUGAUUAAUUCAUUCUGAAAUUGUAAAUAUUUAACAGAUCGCAGUGAGCAAGGUGACUGGAGGCUCAUUUCCAUUUUGGCCGCGCUGGAUACAGUACGCCGGUGACGGAGGAACACGGGAAACCCGGUCCCUACCCGCGAAGAAGCUCAAAGAGUGUGACACGUAUAAUCUAUAAUAAUAUACUUAUAUAUAUUUAAAAAAAGUGUUGAUUUCCGGAUAUGUGUGACACAUGAUGAUGACGACACGCAUCGAUCUUUGACGCUCCCAGCGAACAGCAGACGGGCUUUGUCCUCACCGCUGGGGGUGACCUGGUGGCUGUACGUU